Molecule: transfer RNA, 73 nt
Filed under: Stegodyphus mimosarum
Lineage: Eukaryota; Metazoa; Arthropoda; Arachnida; Araneae; Eresidae
Rfam family: tRNA
About the family: Transfer RNA (tRNA) molecules are approximately 80 nucleotides in length. Their secondary structure includes four short double-helical elements and three loops (D, anti-codon, and T loops).
Source: Rfam by way of RNAcentral
ACCUUUAUGGUGUAGUGAUCAGCACGCUCGACUGGCAACCGAGAGGUUCGGAGUUCGAUUCACGGUGAUGGAA